This 1698-nucleotide ribosomal RNA is filed under the name Mesocriconema sp. N1051. Its description in RNAcentral is "SSU rRNA". It matches the Rfam family "Eukaryotic small subunit ribosomal RNA". Lineage: Eukaryota; Metazoa; Nematoda; Chromadorea; Rhabditida; Criconematidae. The record is from RNAcentral.
UAUCAGUACUCGCCCUAGCAAGGUGAAACCGCGAACGGCUCAUUACAACAGCUAUAAUCCACUCGAUCUUGAGCAGUUACUCGGAUAACUGUGGUAAUUCUAGAGCUAAUACGUGAAGCAAAGCUGUAUUCAUUUGGAUGCAGCGCAUUUAUUGGAGCAAAACCAGGCGGCUUCGGCCGUUCACUGUUGACUCAGAAUAACUAAGCUGAGCGMAUGGUCUUGUACCGGCGCCGUGUCGUUCGAGUGUCUGCCUUAUCAACUUUCGAUGGUAGUGUAUGUGACUACCAUGGUUGUGACGGGUAACGGGGGAUAAGGGUUCGACUCCGGAGAAGGGGCCUGAGAAAUGGCCACUACGUCCAAGGAUGGCAGCAGGCGCGCAAAUUACCCACUCUCGGUUCGAGGAGGUAGUGACGAAAAAUAACAAGGUGGUUCUCUACGAGGCCCACCAUUGGAAUGGGUACAACUCAAACCCUUUAACGAGUAUCAAUGAGAGGGCAAGUCUGGUGCCAGCAGCCGCGGUAAUUCCAGCUCUCAAAAUGCAUAGAACCAUUGCUGCGGUUAAAAAGCUCGUAGUUGGAUCUGUGCCGGCGUCGUGGUCCACCCUAACAGGCGGCACUGCGCGCGUCGGCUUUGGGCCGGUCUUCGUCCGGGGGCCUUAACUGGUCCGUCGGCCGUGGCUGGCUGGUUUACUUUGAGCAAAUCAGAGUGCUCAGCACAGGCGUUUCGCCGGAAUGUUCGUGCAUGGAAUAAUAGAACAGGAUCACGGUCCUCUUUUAUUGGUUUUGUGGACUGAGAUAAUGGUUAACAGAGACGAACGGGGGCAUUCGUAUUGCUGCGUGAGAGGUGAAAUUCUUGGACCGCAGCAAGACGGACUACAGCGAAAGCAUUUGCCAAGCGCGUCUUCAUUAAUCAAGAACGAAAGUCAGAGGUUCGAAGGCGAUCAGAUACCGCCCUAGUUCUGACCGUAAACGAUGCCAACUAGCGAUUCGGCGGUGGCUACAAGGCCCUGCUGAGGAGCUUCCCGGAAACGAAAGUCUUCCGGUUCCGGGGGAAGUAUGGUUGCAAAGCUGAAACUUAAAGGAAUUGACGGAAGGGCACCACCAGGAGUGGAGCCUGCGGCUUAAUUUGACUCAACACGGGAAAACUCACCCGGCCCGGACACCGUAAGGAUUGACMGAUUGAUAGCUUUUUCAUGAUUCGGUGGUUGGUGGUGCAUGGCCGUUCUUAGUUCGUGGAUCGAUUUGUCUGGUUUAUUCCGAUAACGAGCGAGACUCCAGCCUACUAACUAGUACGAGCAUUGCCUCUGUGCUCGGCACUUCUUAGAGGGAUUGACUGCGUCUAGCGGUACGAAACGGAGCAAUAACAGGUCUGUGAUGCCCUUAGAUGUCCGGGGCUGCACGCGCGCUACACUGGCAAAGGCAACRUGCUUGUCCGUCUCCGAAAGGAGCCGGUAAACCCUUGAAAAUUUGCCGUGAUUGGGAUCGGAAAUUGCAAUUAUUUUCCGUGAACGAGGAAUUCCUAGUAAGUGCGAGUCAUCAGCUCGCGUUGAUUACGUCCCUGCCCUUUGUACACACCGCCCGUCGCUGCCUAGAACUGAGCCAUUUCGAGAAUAUUCGGGAUCGUUGGUUGCGUGUUCUUCGGGACAUGCCUCCGGCCAGAGAACGAACGUAAUCGCAAUGGCUUGAACCGGGCAAAAGU